GCUCAGGACGAACGCUGGCGGCGUGCUUAACACAUGCAAGUCGAACGAUGAUGCCCAGCUUGCUGGGUGGAUUAGUGGCGAACGGGUGAGUAACACGUGAGUAACCUGCCCCUGACUCUGGGAUAAGCGUUGGAAACGACGUCUAAUACUGGAUAUGAUCACUGGCCGCAUGGUCUGGUGGUGGAAAGAUUUUUUGGUUGGGGAUGGACUCGCGGCCUAUCAGCUUGUUGGUGAGGUAAUGGCUCACCAAGGCGACGACGGGUAGCCGGCCUGAGAGGGUGACCGGCCACACUGGGACUGAGACACGGCCCAGACUCCUACGGGAGGCAGCAGUGGGGAAUAUUGCACAAUGGGCGAAAGCCUGAUGCAGCAACGCCGCGUGAGGGAUGACGGCCUUCGGGUUGUAAACCUCUUUUAGUAGGGAAGAAGCGAAAGUGACGGUACCUGCAGAAAAAGCACCGGCUAACUACGUGCCAGCAGCCGCGGUAAUACGUAGGGUGCAAGCGUUGUCCGGAAUUAUUGGGCGUAAAGAGCUCGUAGGCGGUUUGUCGCGUCUGCUGUGAAAUCCCGAGGCUCAACCUCGGGCUUGCAGUGGGUACGGGCAGACUAGAGUGCGGUAGGGGAGAUUGGAAUUCCUGGUGUAGCGGUGGAAUGCGCAGAUAUCAGGAGGAACACCGAUGGCGAAGGCAGAUCUCUGGGCCGUAACUGACGCUGAGGAGCGAAAGCAUGGGGAGCGAACAGGAUUAGAUACCCUGGUAGUCCAUGCCGUAAACGUUGGGCGCUAGAUGUAGGGACCUUUCCACGGUUUCUGUGUCGUAGCUAACGCAUUAAGCGCCCCGCCUGGGGAGUACGGCCGCAAGGCUAAAACUCAAAGGAAUUGACGGGGGCCCGCACAAGCGGCGGAGCAUGCGGAUUAAUUCGAUGCAACGCGAAGAACCUUACCAAGGCUUGACAUACACCGGAAACGGCCAGAGAUGGUCGCCCCCUUGUGGUCGGUGUACAGGUGGUGCAUGGUUGUCGUCAGCUCGUGUCGUGAGAUGUUGGGUUAAGUC
RNAcentral lists this ribosomal RNA (1052 nucleotides) under bacterium. Its description in RNAcentral is "bacterial SSU rRNA". It matches the Rfam family "Bacterial small subunit ribosomal RNA", at positions 22 to 1086 of the family's 1533-position model. The record is from RNAcentral.